CGAUACCACUGCACUAGUGAGCCUCCCGGCAUCGACUCUUCUCUGAUGUUUCAUCGAGAAGCUAAGGAUCAGAGGAGCGGAGUUCGGAGAAAUUUGUUUGCGUGAAAGCCUGCUGCCCACAUUGAUGGAGUUUCGGGACUGACCGUCUGCAGAGUACGCCCCAGCCGGGAAAAGGCGCAGCUCACAGGCUGACAGUACCUGCUGCCGGCAAGGAAACCGGCAUGGUUCCUGAUUUAAGAAGUAGACCCUGCAGCCCCAGUCGUAACGCACAGUGGAAUGCUGAUAAUGGUAGCUAUUAGUUGGGUGGAACGCGCGGAACCGCAACGGAGAGAGUAGUUGCGUGCCUUACGUGUCCGUUGUUUGUUUUGGUGCACCUGAGUUAAGUAUUGUGUUGCCUCCUCCCUUUCGCCCCGUAGUGUUCUUCUCAUAAACAUUUCCUUCAAGGCAUUUUAGUUAAUUUUAUGCUAGUAUUAUUUUAAUUUCUUACAUUGGUAAAAUUGUGUGGCCUUCAUUACGCACACUGUCAUAGCGAAGUUGAUGUGCCAUUGUGAUUUCUUAAACUCCAUUGUGUGUGCCCUUCGUGAUACAUAU
Long non-coding RNA from Schistocerca nitens (vagrant locust), 591 nucleotides. RefSeq lists it as uncharacterized. NCBI's taxonomy places the organism in Eukaryota, Metazoa, Arthropoda, Insecta, Orthoptera, Acrididae. The transcript has 3 exons. The record is from RefSeq and is a predicted model, not a curated record.